UAGAUUUUUGUGGAAAUUAUGUGUUUUAUGAAGAUUGGUACUAUUAUUAAGUUGGCUGAGCCUUCAAACGAGAAUCAUGAACGAGAGCUUCUUCGUCUUCUUCUAGCAUCAUAGCAAUGGAAAUCGGAAUUGAUUAUUGGAUAACGGUGAAACGGUUCGAAGAACGGUUAUGGAAAAUUGAACGGUAAUAGAGUAAUAGAGAGAACAUGGUUAUGCAGCACUCAAGUGAGGGGGUCUCAAAGUUACCUAUGGUUAUGGAGAAUUGUACGGAUCGAACUUUUCCAUUUUUUUUUCAUUUAUUUAAUUACUAUGAUGUAUAUGUGGCUUUUUCAUGGGUGCCUCAAAGUUGCAUAAGGGAGUAAAGUUAGAGGGUUGGAAAGUGGGUUUUUUUAAUAGGGGAUCAAAAUCGCAACUAUUGCAAGUUAUUUUAUUUUAGGAACAAAUAUUUGAAAGAUGGAGUCUUGGAGCAAAAGAAAGGAGAAUUUGAGCUAAUUCGUGCCAAAAAUAUGAAGAUCUGAUACAAAAAUAUCUUGUGCAAAUAAUUUGAAGAUCUUGUGCAAAAAUAUAACAAGUGGCGGGCCCCUUUUACCCUUUUGCUGCUUUUGCUUCUUCGACAAAGCUGCCUAUUUUAGUAUUUCAGACCUAGAGCCUAUGGUUUCUUGUGCAACACUUUAGUGAUUUAAUUCUUAGGGCUCAAGUCAAUGUUAGACUAUAAAUAGAUCAGUCCCCUAGUUUGUAAAACCAUCUUUUGUUCUUGAAAUAAUAAGUGACAAUUGUUUUCAAUAAAAAGAUCAACCUUUAUUUUAUGUUCUUCUUCUUCUUCUUCUCUUCUAUGUCUACAAUGAACGUGAGUGAGUAGACUCUUCUUGUCUUGGGAUUGUUGGAUAAGUCUAAUGACGUAAUCCUAAUCAAACCAAACCAUAAACCCUAAUUUUAUAUAAAUCCACUUUCUAAUCUAAUUUCACCGUUUUGAUAAUGAAUUAACAAAUACCAAACUCAUAAAGCGAACGCGGAGGGAUAGUAUUUGUUAAUUCAUCAUCACAAAUAUCAAUUCAUAAAAGCGAACACGGAGCUUUGAUAUUGGAACAAGUGAAAUUAGACAAGGAUUGCGAAAUAUGAGAAUAGUCUAGCAAACCUUGAGAAACAUAAAGUUUUGUUCUUCAAGGAUUCUAAUAACAAUCAACCAUGAGAAUAGGCGUGGUUGCUAGAGGAACACACUCAAUGAUUUUGAGAGAAACUUUGAUACGCUUAAGAGAAACUUGUCUUUAGAAAGUAGGUCCAAUAUAAAGUUUAGGUUUAGGGUUUGUUUGUGAAGGAAUUGUCACUAUGACGAACCAAUAAUCCCAAGGCGCUAUUAUUUUAUUAUUAUUAUUUUCUUUUAAUUAAACAAAAAUACAACUUUCUACCUUCUAAACUUUCAAUCUAAUCAUUGUUAAAAGUUAAUUGAAUUCAUAACUCCCUGUCGGAACGAUACUCUUUUUAUUACUUCGAUAGAACCGUGCACUUGCGGUUUUACUCAUCACCCCUGAAGUUGAGGAACACUUGGUAUGUGAGUCCAUAGGAAAAGGAUGAGGUAGAGGAAGGUGAUUGAAUAACCAUAUAUAACAACUACGCAGAAAUGGAAAUAAGAAUAUAGUUCAAGAAUGAAGAAUAUAUUAAUUUGUAAAGAUUUGGCACACUUGUCUAAUCCGCACAUCUGAACCAAUAAAAGGUUUAGAAGGUUGUUCAGAAGUUUCAUCAGAACAAACCCAUAAAUCAUUGUGCAUAUCAAGAACAUGCAAGAACAUACAUGAUAUGAACAUAUCAUAUGCAAAAAAGGAUUUCAACUCUAUGGUAAUUAAAUGAUUAAUGGACUUUGAUGUUCUUGGUAUUUAACAUAUGUUCUUAAGUGAUUAACCAAAACAGGAACAAAGUAUAAAUCAAACCAAGAUUCAAGUGAUCAAAGAACAUUAAAGCUUAUGAACCCAAUAAUAGUUCAGAAGGUUAGUUAGAGUUUAGAAGGUUCGAAGAUAUUUCAGAAGGUUGUUCUAAAGGUUUAUCAAGAAUAAGCCCAUAAAUAAAUUAACAUUAUCAAGAACAUACAAGGCUCACAUGGCAUAAAAGAAAGUGCAUAAAAGUACUAUGACUUUAGAUCAAUCAAGGAUUAAAUGCAUUAAUUUGGAUAAAAUUUAAAAGGAAUAUUAUUCUAAGAAAAAUUAGGAAUAUUCUUCUAAGAAAAUCAUCAUAGAUGUUAUGCAUAGUGCACCUCAUUGAUGCCCUUCAUUCAAGUUCACUAUUAAUAUUUGAUAGCAUCAGAUGAAGAUCAUUAAGAUGAUCACAAAUAUUCUGAAGUUCAAAAGGUCGUUCAGCUACAUGUUUUAUCUGACAGAAAGGUACAAUAGGUGAAAAAGCAAAAAGCAAAAGCAAAAUGCAAGAUCAAUUCAGAUUCAAUUAUAAUUAGACACAUAAGGGAGCAUAUACGUUCAGUAAAAAUGAUUACACAAAUCAACUCUAAAUAUUCCUAAAAUCUUAAAGAGUGUGUAACAUUUCUCUCUUAUCUUUUCAAUGAUAAUCUUCUUCUUCUUUCAAACCUCCAAACCAUUGUAAGAGAAAAUCUCAUCUAGUUUUAAGGGUAUUAAAAUGUUAGUUGAGUAAAAGAAAAGAGUAGAGUCUUGUCUGACUUAGAAAGAAAAGUUGUAAGCCUAUUGAGGCUAGAUAAUACAGUUUUUGCAUGCUAAGGCUAGAUAAUACACUUUGUAAGCCUGCUGAGGCUAAGAUAAUACAGAAGGUAAAGUCCCUAGUGGUAGAAAGUGUAAGGUGCAUGAGUUGAGAAGGUUGUCUCAAGGAUCAUAGUGAACAUCUCACAGUUGUGAGGAGUGGAAUAACCCACAUUAGAUGAACCACUAUAAUUCUCGUGUGUUAUAUUCUUUACCAUUACUCUUUAUUUUUAACAUUAAUAUUUACAUUCACUUUACACACCAUUAUCCCUUUAUUUAUUGUUUAUUACACUCACACUUCUGCAUGUACUUCAGAACAUUCUGAACUUGACCUAGUUUUUAUUUAUUUCAAGUAUCUACUUGAGAAUCACUUACCACAAGUGCAAGUUAAAUUUAAAAAGGGUCAUAAUUAAACCCCCCUUAUUUUGAAUAUUAUUUCCACUUCAAAGAAAACAGAUUACAUAAUGCUAUUGUUGUUCUUGAGAAGAGAAUAAAACAAAUCAGAGAGAAAAGGACGAAGAGAAGAGGAAGGUGGCGUUGUUGUUGUGCCUGUGUUUUUUUUUUUAAUGAAUUUGUAGGUUUUUUUUUAAUAAAUUUUUUGGAUUUGUGAUAAACACCAUGAACUUAUAAGUUAAAGAAGAUGAAGAUGAUGCUGAACAUAUAUCCUAGACAAAAAAAAAAAUAAAAAAAAUAAAAAAAGAAAUUAUACAAUCACAAUGCCACAUAAUAAAAAAUGCUGACUCAGCGCGCCGCAUCACUUUAGUUACCUAGUUAGAUGAGGCCAUGGUCGAUUUAUGAAGAAUCUUGAUUUUACAAUGAUGAAAUCUACUUUUUUACUACAUGAGGUAAACUGGAAAUGACUUAUAUUACAGGGGAUAAAACACUCUUAACCCUAGAAUAUAACAUGGAAGAGUUAAAUUCUUCAAUUUAUAAAAAAUAAAAUGACAUUAGAAGUUUAAAAAGUCAAAAUUUAGAGUUGGUUAUAUUAAAGCAACAAAGAAACUCAAAUGCACAAAUAAUAUUAUAGUGUCAUAUUAAUGUACAAGAGAAAUCCAUAAAUUUCACUCACAAUACAUUAAUGAGCAAAGACGGAGUACCAUGAGUAUUGUAUGCAUACCCAGUACGUGUACUUUAACGUUUUACAAUUACUUAUACUUCAAAGUAUAUUCUGUUUAACUAAUAAAUUGUACACUUACUUGAUUUUCCUCGUAAACAUUACCAUUUAAAACAUGAGGGAAAUUGGAAAUGANNNNNNNNNNNNNNNNNNNNNNNNNNNNNNNNNNNNNNNNNNNNNNNNNNNNNNNNNNNNNNNNNNNNNNNNNNNNNNNNNNNNNNNNNNNNNNNNNNNNUCCCCUCCCCUCCCCUCUCAUCCGCUUCUAAAAAUUGAACCAAACACUUCAAAUUAAAAAUCUUCCCUCCCCUCCAAAACUCUCGAACCAAAUGAACCCUAAAGUGAUCGACUUAUAAUUUGAAACAGAGGAGUAAUACUUAUGGAUCGGAGUAAAGAGUGCAGUGAGUGAAUUGAUGUAAAAUUUAGUUUUUUUCAUGCUAUAAUAUCUAUAAUGACUAUCGGGGUGCUAUUGUUAUUGACAAACUAGUUUACAAUGAAAACAAAUAUUACAAUGGAAACAAAUAUUACAAUGUUUGUGUAAUACACAAAAUUAUCAACCUAUUCGUCCUUCCUCAUGAUGCCCCUAAAGUCAACCUUCAUCCAGUAGAACUACAAUUUGAAGCUUACUGUUUGAUUUUUGAGUUACUGAUUCACAUUUAAUUUCCAUGAUAUUAUUGACGAUUGGUCAAACAUAAAAUAAAACUACAUUUUAAUUGACUUGUUUUAUUUAUUUAUUUAAGUUUUCUCGUUGUUUUAUUGUUUGAAUGGUAACCACAUUUAAGAUAUCAGCAAGAAGAGGUGGUAGUGCAACGAUAUCUACUCUGUGAUUGGUCCACACGCUAUAGGAUGUUGCAAGGAAGUUUCACUUACUACUUUUGUCAUUAGUUUUCUCCUUGUUUUAAAGAAUCCACCUAACAGACCACACAAAUUACUCAUUCAUAUUCUCCAUUUUCAAAGUCUUUUUUCAUCCAUAUUCUUUCAAUUCUCAUGGCUAUGCAAUCACCUUCCCGAGUGUUCCUCAGUUUCAGGGGCAGUGACACUCGCAACAAAUUUACCGGUAAUCUCUAUAAGGCUCUUGUUGACAAGGGAAUUCGUACUUUCAUUGAUGAUAAUGAUCUUGAAAGAGGAGAUGAAAUCACACCAUCACUUGUCAAGGCCAUUGAAGAAUCUAGGAUUUUUAUUCCCAUAUUUUCUGCCAACUAUGCAUCUUCUUCAUUUUGUUUGGACGAACUUGUCCACAUCAUUCACUGCUACAAGACAAAGAGUUGCUUAGUAUUUCCCGUUUUCUAUGAUGUGGAACCUACUCACAUACGAAAUCAGAGUGGGAUUUAUGGUGAGCAUCUUACUAAGCAUGAAGAGAGGUUUCAAAAUAACGAGAAAAACAUGGAGCGAUUGCGUCAAUGGAAGAUAGCUCUUAUCCAAGCUGCUAACUUGUCCGGCUAUCAUUAUAGUCCUCAUGGGUACCCCACUUUACUUAAAACUUGUUUUUCCUUUCUAUAUUUUAUUUCAUUAAUUUUUAUGCCUAAAUAAUCUACUCUCAAAGCUUAAAUAGGAACACAUUUUCUAUUAAUGUUUUUAAAACAAGUGUAAGUUAUUUAUAUGUCAAAAAAGUUAGAAUUGCAUAAUAUAUUCUCAAUACAUGGAUGUGAUUUUGAUUUUAGUGUAUUUUCUAAUUUAUCUUAUUGGACAUGAAUAGAUAUGAAUACAAGUUUAUUGAGAAGAUAGUCGAAGACAUCUCCAACAAUAUCAAUCAUGUUUUUUUAAAUGUAGCCAAAUACCCUGUUGGAUUACAGUCCCGAAUAGAAGAAGUGAAAUUGCUUCUUGACAUGGGCUCUGAGGAUGAGGUCCGCAUGGUAGGACUUUUUGGUACUGGAGGCAUGGGUAAAUCAACACUUGCAAAAGCAGUUUAUAAUUUUGUUGCUGAUCAAUUUGAAGGUGUAUGUUUUCUUCAUAAUGUCAGAGAGAAUUCAAGUCAUAAUAACCUGAAACAUCUCCAGGAAGAUCUCCUUUUAAGAACAGUUAAAUUGAACCAUAAGUUAGGAGAUGUUAGUGAGGGAAUUUCAAUCAUUAAGGAAAGACUAUCUAGAAAGAAGAUUCUUUUGAUUCUUGAUGAUGUUGACAAACUGGAGCAGCUAGAGGCUUUGGCUGGAGGACUUGAUUGGUUCGGUCAUGGAAGCAGGGUCAUCAUUACCACUCGUGAUAAACACUUACUAGCCUGUCAUGGGAUUACAAGUACACAUGCAGUAGAAGAAUUGAAUGAGACAGAAGCUCUUGAAUUGUUGAGGCGAAUGGCUUUUAAAAAUGACAAAGUUCCUUCAAGUUAUGAAGAAAUUUUAAACCGUGUAGUUACUUAUGCAUCUGGCCUGCCCUUAGCAAUAGUAACAAUAGGGGGCAAUUUGUUUGGAAGGAAGGUAGAAGAUUGGGAGCGUACAUUAGACGAGUAUGAAAAUAUUCCCGAUAAAGAUAUCCAAAGGAUACUUCAAGUAAGCUAUGAUGCUUUGAAGGAAAAGGAUCAGAGUGUCUUUCUAGACAUUGCUUGUUGCUUCAAAGGGUGUGAAUGGACAAAGGUUAAAAAAAUACUUCAUGCUCAUUAUGGCCAUUGCAUAGAACAUCAUGUUGGAGUGUUGGCUGAAAAAUCUCUCAUAGGCCAUUGGGAAUAUGACACUUAUGUGACCUUACAUGACUUGAUAGAGGACAUGGGUAAAGAAAUCGUCCGACAAGAAUCUCCCAACAAGCCUGGAGAACGCAGUAGGUUGUGGUUUCCCGAUGAUAUAGUUAACGUUUUAAGAGAUAAUACAGUAAGGAAAACUAAUAUUUAUGAACAAUUUGUUGUUUUAGCUUUAGCCAUGACUUUGAUCAUCCUGCCACCUCAUACUUGUGUUUUUUAUUCACUUAAUUACAUGUAUAUUACUCUAUAUAAUAUUUGUAUUAUGAUUUAUUCUUUUUUUAUUUUGUUAAAAGGGAACUGGGAAUAUUGAAAUGAUAUAUUUAGAAUUUGACUCAACGGCAAGAGAAACAGAGUGGGAUGGAAUGGCUUGCAAGAAGAUGACAAAUCUCAAAACACUUAUCAUUGAAUAUGCUAACUUUUCAAGGGGUCCUGGGUAUCUUCCAAGUAGUUUGAGAUAUUGGAAAUGGAUAUUCUGUCCUUUGAAGUCUCUAUCUUGUAUUUCGAGCAAGGCAAGUGAAAUAAGUUCAUUUUUCAAUUGUGUAUAUUGAUAAUUCUCUAUUAGAUUAUAAUUUUAAUUUCAGCUUAUUUAUUUGUUUUUUAUGCAGGAGUUCAACUAUAUGAAAGUCUUGACAUUGAACUAUUCUCGAUAUUUAACCCAUAUACCCGAUGUCUCAGGUCUUCCAAAUCUAGAAAAGUGCUCCUUUCAAAACUGUGAAAGUUUAAUUAGAAUUCACAGUUCGAUUGGACACCUAAAUAAACUUGAAAUCUUAAAUGCAUCUGGUUGCAGCAAGCUUGAGCAUUUUCCACCCUUACAGCUGCUCUCUCUUAAGAAAUUCAAAAUCUCUCAUUGUGAGAGUCUCAAGAAAAUUACAAUUCACAACUCGAUUGGACACCUAAAUAAACUUGAAAUCUUAAAUACAUCUAAUUGCCUCAAACUUGAGCAUUUCCCACCCUUACAGCUGCCCUCUCUUAAGAAAUUUGAAAUCUCUGGUUGUGAGAGUCUCAAGAAUUUUCCAGAAUUAUUAUGUAAGAUGACAAAUAUAAAAGAUAUUGAGAUAUAUGAUACUUCCAUAGAAGAAUUGCGAUAUUCAUUUCAAAAUUUCAGUGAACUUCAACGGUUAACAAUAUCUGGAGGGGGAAAGCUCAGGUUCCCAAAAUAUAAUGAUACAAUGAAUUCAAUAGUGUUUUCAAAUGUGGAACAUGUUGACCUCAGAGACAACAACCUCUCGGAUGAAUGUCUCCCAAUACUUCUCAAGUGGUUUGUUAAUGUGACAUUUCUAGACUUAUCGGAGAACUAUUUCACAAUUCUUCCCGAGUGCCUUGGUGAAUGUCACCGUCUUAAGCAUCUUUAUUUGAAGUUUUGCGAGGCUCUUGAGGAAAUUAGAGGGAUUCCACCAAAUCUUGAAAGGCUUUGUGCAGACGAGUGUUAUUCAUUGAGUUCCUCAAGUAUAAGAAUGUUAAUGAGUCAGGUUUGUUGUUUUUUUAUUGCACUAGUAUUUGACAUAUAGUAUUUCAGUUCAUAGUGUAAUUAUUAUUCUUUUUAUAUAAACUAACAGAAACUGCAUGAGUCUGCUGGAUGCACCCAUUUUCGAUUCCCAAACAAAACGAGAAGGAUUCCUGAUUGGUUUGAGCACCAAAGCAGGGGAGGCAAAAUUGCUUUCUGGUAUCAUAAAAAACUCCCUUCUAUUAGUUUUACUUUUAUUAUUAUUUAUGAGCACUACACAACAGUCAAAUUAUUUGUGAAUGGAUAUGAAAAAGAGAUAAGUUUCGACGAAUUCACUGGGGAAUUCGGUAAGCUAGUGGAUGAUGAAACUGUGUUGGAUAACUAUACAACUUUGUUGCAUAUAAAAUUGGAAGAAGGUAAUGAACUCGGUGAAAGACUUUUGAAAAAGGAAUGGAUCCAUGUGGAGUUUAAGUUGAAGGAUCACGAGAAUAGUGUUUAUGCACAAAUGGGAAUCCACGUGUGGGGAAUUGAUCCUUCAUUAUCACAAUUUAUGCAAGAGGGAAUUGAUCCUUCAAUAUUAUAUCCUCAAAAAAAGCAAAGAUUGGUGGAAGUGGGAGUUUCAGAGAAAGGGGAGGAGGAGGAGGAGGGAUGAGAUUGAAAUAUUAAGCAGUGCGCAAGAUGAAAGAAAGAUGUUGGGUACAUUCCUUAGUCUAGGUCCAUCAUAAAGUUAACCGUCUUCUUGUUAUUCUCUCAAUCUCAACAUUGCAGGUUUGUGCUUUGUUGUAUAUACUUUGUAUAAAUGUUGAUUAAUUUCUGUAUAUAGUCAGUUACAAAUUCAUUACUGUACGUUUGGAGACAUGCAUUAGAUUAUAGAAUGAAUACCAUUUUAGAAGUACAUGUAAAUUCAUGGAGGCCAACCUCGGAUAAUGUAUUUGAAUGUUUUAUGUAGUCAAUUUAUCUGUAAGGGUUAUGAAAAAGUAGUUUUUAUAUGGUGUUUUAGUUACCUAUGAAAAUUCAAUAUUUGCAUUGUAUGUAAUUUUUAUAAUCUAUUCUGGUUUUUAUCAAAGUCAAAUGAAUUCACAAAAGCUUUCCUCAAUUUUUUCGCUAGAUCAGGUCUGAGCUUCAAUAUGCAAUCCAUCUGGAAUUUGGUAGAGUCCUAUUUGGUACUGAUGCUUGGAUCGAUGUCCCUCUCUACUACAGAACAUAGACCAAGGGCCUUAACUGGCAAUUAGUUACACACAUUCAUGGAAACAAGGGUUGAAGCAUUCGCUCGCAAGCAACUCAGGUAAUAGAAUUUAAUUUUUAAUUAAAUGGGUUUGCCAUGUCCAUUCAUCAAAAUUCAAUUGCAUAAAGAUAUAAGCAAAUAUAUUCAAUUGCAUAAUUCUUUUACAAGUUCUGACAUAUGCAGUGGGGUCACUAUCACCGUAGUUUUUGGUUGAAGUCAUAUGUUGUUUACUUGUUGGUUUUUCAAGUUCUGACAUGAUAUUAUUUUUCUUCCCAUUUCCAACUGAUCAACUACUUUACGUGCUUCAAUUUUUUUCAAUCACUGCUAAAUUUUAGUGGAGAAGAAACAAAUGAAUCUAAAAAAUUUACGAUCAACCAAAUUCUAUUUGGAGGUGAAUGUUUUUUCAUAAUCUAACUUUGUAAAUGAAUUUUAAGUGAUUUGAAAACAUGGAAUAAGGUCUUCAAUAAAUGAAUAUGUAUCAGGUGCUUUUGGUUCAGUUUUAGACUUUUAGAUGGUAGGGAUCGUUCUUUUAAAGAAAUAUCCUUGGAUACCUCCAAAGCAGUUUUCCUGGUUUUGUCGAUCUGUCUUAAGUAUAUAUGCAAGUAUCUGAAUAGUGGAUGUUACAAAAAAUUAUGUUUUGUGGGAGCACCGCUCUCUGCGGUUUUUGUUUUUAACCAAAUUGUUUCUAGUCUCCUUUAUAGUAACUCUCCUAUUUCACACUUUUCAAAGGUCUUAUAAAACAUAUUGAGAGGGAAUUUUUUUUUUAGCAUGAUCAGUGAAAGACAUAAAAUGCCCUUUGACUUUGAGGUGCCUACUGAUAGUUGAAUAAUGGCUGCAGAUGUGAAGAAUCACAACAGCAGCGUGGGUGAUUACUUCGAUCUUAUGUUGCAGUUGGAAAAGAAAUUGGAUCUGUUGAUGAAUGCAUGAUUUGGUGAAAAUGCAAAGUUGAUGUCUCCGUCCUGCUGCCACUUUCCUGCUAUCAUUAAAAGCGAAAGCAAAGUCCCAGGGGCUGUUAUGGUGGCUGUUACGAAGGCUGUGAUAGGAAUUUGCCAACAAAUCUUCUGGUCUGUUUUGUACUUUUUUUUUUGUUCCUUAUCUAAGUUUCUAUGGUCGGUCUUUUCGACUAUAAUGGAAUAAUACAUGUUUGUUUAAAGAGGGUGCUACUGCAAUGUAGUUAUUGCUUCUAGCAUGGCAUUUACUAGGCUGAUUUGGUCUUUUCGAACUCAUCCAAGGACUGCAGGAUUUGGAGGACUUGAUCGGAAUUAUGACAAAGCUUUUCAAUUUGGAUUUUAUGGAAGUAUAGGCUGGUCAAAUAUCCUUCAUGCAGAGAUUCAGGCUCUCCUUGUUGGUCACUUGAUCGGAAUGUUGUUUCUUGAAAUGAUUAAAGUUUGUACCAAAAGACUAUCGGUUUGCAACAUGUGCUCUCUAUGGCAAAAUUAUCCUAGAAGAUCAAAAUGAUUAAAUAAGAAGCUCACAUUUACUAGAAAAUAUCUUUACAAACAUAUCCAAAAUGUGCAUGCUUAUUACACAGUUCCAAGAGUAGUAACAAAACACUGUACAUUCGGUAAAGAUAAAAUAUCAUUCAUUGAUAUAUAAACCAGAUAAGUUUGCAAAUAAAGAGAUUAAAAAAUCAAUAUUGAAUUAUGAUAUGAACAAUUGAUAAGCCACUUUGUAUAUAAGGUAAUAUUCAAAAAACGAAAUUCAUAUACCUCUUGGUGAAGACAAGAAAAACAACUAGUUACUGAUUCCUCCAAGUAGAAGAAAGACUUCCUUGUAUAUUGUUAUCUGAGUACAACCCUCUUCUUUGCAACCAAGCAUCUCAAUCAAUUGGGUGCUCAAAUCAAGCCAAACUAAUUCCUUAUCUUUUCUUUUGAAAAAUAUUUCCCCCGUCACCCCAACUCUAAUUGGGCGCUCAACACAAAGCAAUGGUUCAAAUGUAAAGAGUUCGGACCACGAUUCCUUCAUACCAAUUGAUACGUGAAAAGUAGUCAUCUUUUCAUGAUAUGAGAUCAAAGCAACAUACCCAUUUAACACCACCAAGUUUACCUACUUUAAUUUAACACCAGAACAAUCAUAUAUGUUUGAGGGUAUAGGUGUUACAAAAAACACCUCACUGCUUAAGUGAAAAGAUACCAAACAUGGUCAUCUUUGGUAAACAACCAAUGACACACUCCAUCCAUGUAGACUCGGGUGCCCUCAGUACAACUCCCAAGAAGACGGCAUCUCAAUAUCAAGUUUUCUCCAUGAGUUACUUCUUAGGCUAUAUAUCUCCCAAGCAUUAAUUUCUUCCAACCAGCCUAAAGUUGUAAUUUCUUCAAGGUCAUCAGAGUAUUGAAAUGAUGGUUGUAUCAAAACUUGUACAUCCCGAAUGACCUUAUAAUCACUUAUAACAUGGUCAUAACCAAAUCCAUGAAGACAAGAAUAAAACCAAACUUCAACUAAAGCCUUAGCUUCAUCUGUGAUAGCUGACUCAAUCUCACCGGGAGGAAGGAGAUUAAAUGUUUCCGUAGCUGGGUUCCACAGUGUAAUUUUUUCAUAAUCGCCUUCUUGAUAUUCAUGAAGACAAAAAGUACCAUUAAUACUACCAAAACCAAACACAUGAAUACUAUCAUUUUCAAGAAAAGGAUUUGUGAAUUCCAGUUUGAUUUUAUUCUUGAACCUCUCACCAGAAAAAGAAUACAAAGCUUCUUUAUUGUGUUCAAUAACCUUUAGGAGGAGAGAUGCACCAUCGUAAUAAGAACAACAGUGAGAAUUGGAAAAGAAAUUCGUGCGGAACAUGUUCUUGAAGUGAUGGUUCUCAAAUAAGAGGGACCAUGAUUUUCGAAUACAUUGAAAUCGCUUAAAAGAUUUAAGCGGCAACUUUGAUAGAAUUGAAACGGCUAUAUCAUCUGAUAUAUAAGUGUUCACUUUUCCAUCUUCUGAACCCACAUAUCUCUUCUUCUCCAUCGAUUCAAGAUGAGAAGAGCUUCGAUCGUGAGUAGUGUUCAUCGCUUUGAAGAAAUUUUGAUGGUUUUAGGGUUUUUAGAUGCAAUAGUAUUUUUUAUACUUAUACAAUCUAGGGGUGGAAAAAUAGUUUAGACCUGCCCGAGACCGACCCGUCCACAAUAAAAAAAGGACAGGGCCAAACCGGGUUGGGUGGGUGUACAGGUUGAAGAUUCAGUUUAGGAUGGGUUUGUACGGUCUAUUCCGGGUGAAAUAAUUACUAGUGUGAGUAACCAUAACCGACCCGUACAUGGUGGGACAGCCAACUCACUCCUUAGAAUUGUUGGGCCAACCUAGUUAACAACACCCUUAGGCCCAAAUAAUUCAAGUCUUUCCCAACCCAACCAAAAAACACCAUAGUUCACAACACUCUUUCAAACCGUAGAAUCUUUUUCAGUUGUGCCGUUUCACCAUUUCUCUGGUUUGUCCUCCACCAGCCUCUGUCUUUCCUACUGACUAAAAUGACAUAACCUAUAACGUCUAGCAUUGUUCGACUAUUUUUGUGGAUAGUUCGUGAGUUUCCUUUGUUGAGGGGUUCGUAGCUCCCCAUUCUCGGUUACCAACUUUCCACUUCACGACAUUAUUUGUUAAGAAGGUCUGGCGCCACUAUAAAUAGGGAGUGUGAGUUUAGUGCCUCAUUGUCCAACUUGAGCUUCAACUAAGUCUGAUGUCUUCGGGACACACAUACUAGCUUACAUAGCCUUUGCUUAACCUUCCAUAAUAAAACUCGUCUAAUCUCUAAUUGUCUAUCUCCGAUUUCAACUAUCAUAAUUAUUUUUAGGUGUAAACAUAUUACACGUGUGUAUAUCUUAAUUGUAGUUUGAUUGUUAGUUAGGAAGUGUGUGAAAAAGUUGUAGAGCUAACCACUCACUUCUCUGUGCAAAUAGGAUAGAAAGCUUCAUUAUGUAACUAACUGGGUAUUAUUUUGAUCAUUGAAUAUAGAAGAUUCAGAGCACAAUGCUCACUUCAUUCUUCUUUUUUUGUGUUUUACCUUUCACAUUUCAUGUCAAAUCCUUGAUGAUUGUGUAGAACUCAAUAAAACACUGUAACAAAAAAUAAACCCCCCGGACUAAAUUUAUAAUUAACAGUUUCGAUUUUUUUUUUUUACAUAUUUGUAGCAAUAGAGAAUUAUAAUUCGUAUAUGUAACAUGAUAAAGUUUUUUCUCUCCUUUUUAUCAUUUCUUUUAAAUUUCGAAGAGUAAAUUAUUUUAAAUUCGUAUAUUUUGAAGUGUUAAUAUAGUUUAUUUCCUCUCUCUCUCACAUAUAUUCUCAGCAACAAAAAAUAUAAUAUUUAUAAACUCAUCUCUGAAUAAAAUUGACCCAUCCACCAGUUCCUUGUUACUCAAGCAAUUGAAUUUUUCUUCAUCACUCCUUUCCAAAAGUCAAUGAUCUAUGUUCUUUCCAUACUCUGUAGUAUAUUGCAACGAAAUCACCUAGAAAAGCAAAAGCAACACACCAUACCCAAAAAUCUACCAAUUUCCACCCUUUAAAAACUCACACAAACACAUAUUCACCAACCACCAAAAACCCAUCAUCAUCACAAAAAUAUUCAAAUCUCAUCAAAAUGUGUUGCAGACCUCGUUGGUUUUGGUGCUUCUAUUGCACAAUCUAUGUCGUUAUAUUCUUUUUCAUGAUUACCGCGGUCAUCUUCUGGAUAGUAAUCUCCCCCUCAAGCGUGAAAUUCCACAUAACCGAUGCUACUCUCACAGAGUUCAACAUCACAAACAACAACACCUUGUACUACAAUUUGAAAGUCAAUGUCACAGUACGAAACCCCAACAACAACAUCAUUGUUUAUUACCGAAGAAUCACUGCGAUUGCUUGGUACAAAGACAAUGGUUUUAGUUAUGUGAGUUUGACACCGUUCGAUCAAGGACACAAGAAUACAACUUUUCUUGGACCGAUUGAGUUUAAAGGAAAUACUAAGAUCAAACUUGGACGUCAACAACUUGACGAGUAUUUUGAAGAGAGGCGUCUUGGGAUUCACAAUGAUUUGGCUGUUGAUUUUGAUGUCCGAAUUAGAGCUAAGUUUGGAAGCUUUUACAAGAGUGGUCGGUUUAAUCCGCCAGUUGUGCAGUGUCGUCGUUUGAGUGUUCCUUUGGUUUCUUCUUCUAAUGGUAAUUCAUCAUCGUCACCAUCAUCAUCAACAUUUUCCUUUAGUGAUAGAAGAUGUAGCAGUGGUUCUUUCUUUACAGAUCGUGAUGCCGAUGCAGGAGCUUGAUAUGUAUAUAACAAAGUGAAUUUGUAUACCGUUUUCUUCACUCUUAUUUCAGUGUAAAUUUCAGUGUGUUAUAGUUGUAAUUUUUUCAUUUCAAUUACAUUCAAUCUACAAUGUUGUACACUUAUCGCCAAACAUAUAGAUUAUGUUUGCAAUCUGAACAUGGAUUCAAGCACUGGAUACUGAAUUAUUGGCUUUAGAAAAGAAUGGUACACGAACACCGGUUAAUCUUCGUCCUAAGAUCAAACUUAUAGGUAGUAAAUGGGUCUAUGAGAUCAAAUAUCAUUCAUAUGGUAUUAUACCAGCUUCAAUAAAAUCAACAUGUUUAUAGCUUCAAUAAAAAAAAUGUUACAUUUUUUUUCCCUAAAAAAAAUUAACAUUUAUAUAACAAUAUUUAAUUCUUAUUGAAGCUAUAGAUAUGUUGAUUUUUUAUUUUUUUUAUCUAUAGACGUGUUGAUUUUUCUAACUCCUCUUAUCUUGUGAAUAUAAUGGCAUCCACUUCUUUAUGAUGUGAAUAAAACCGUAAACCCUAAACCAAAAACUUGCCACCAUUCAUGUCAAAUAUGGACAGAGCCUCAUCACCCAGGACCUAAAUAUUGCCAACCAUUUAAAAAAAUUAAAUAUUGUCAAACAUAGUAUUAAACUUCUAGUUGCAUAGAAAUGAAUCAAUUAUUUCGGUCUUGACAUUUCAAAAACAAACAAUAUGUCAAUGUCAAACAUUCCUCUUACUUUGAAAACUAUUCAUUUUGAGAGCAAUGAUUGGUUAAUUAGUUUAUAUAAUCCGUUUCAAUAUGUCAACAUCACACAAACAUUAGUACAUUACGGCGUGUGUGUGAAUUCUACAGGUCACUAAAAUUGAAAUUAAAACAACUCUCUCUCCCCCUCUCUCCCUACUCGUCCCUCCCUCUCUCUCACACACACCAAUUAUUUGUGUGAAAAUGAAUUUGGAUCUCUUAAACAGUUCUCAAAUUUAAACUAAAGAUUAUUAAUCAACAAAAUUCGAUGGAUACUCAUAAUUUGUAACAACAUAGUUACGAAAAAACCCUCCACAUAAAUCCUGCCAAAAAACCCUUCAAGUAAGCAAAUAAAGCAAGAGCAACGAACUUUAUGUUUCCGGUUCUUUGCAAAUAUUAGCCACAAUUAAACCACGGUGUAGAAUAUCAUUGAGAGUUUUAAAUGUAAUAUAACUUGAAAAAUGUCAUAUUUUAGGUUGAACAUCUUAAAUUGAAUUCGAAUUGGGUGUUAAUUUUAGUUAGUAUUUAUCACUUCGUAUCAGGUCGAAAGGAAAAAGCGCCUCAAUCUUACAUGUCAUUUGUAUAUGAUGGAAUUAGACAUCCAAACUCUAAACCUAUUGAAUAGCUACUAAUACGAAAGUAACUAAGGCAAAAACCGCAACUGAAAAGGAACUAAAAAAUAAAAUAACUCGACAACAACAACCUUUUGUUAAACAAAACAAAUGAAGUGAAUAAUUGGGAAAUAAUUCUAAGCCAUCAAAAUUUUGAUAUCAUUUUUUUUACAAAAUUCCAGUAUGCUUUUUGAAUGUUUUACAAAAUUCAACCCAUUAGCCAUGCUUAAAAUAGCAUUGCUCUAGAAUUAAACACGUAUGAAUAAUGAUAUAUGUAUUUUUAUAUAUUCACAUAACACAAUCGUAACACAUUGGAAUUUUAUUAUGUGCAAUAUACAACAAAGUUUUAUUUUAUGCAAAUAUCUAUUAGCGCCACAACAUAUAUGUGAUGCCGAUAAAUGUACAACAAUGUAGAUUGAAUGAAAUUGAAGCUAAAAUAUACAAAGUUCAUUUUAUUAUAUACAUUUCAAGCUCCUGCAUCUGCAUCACGAUCUGUAAAGAAAGAACCACUGCUACAUCUUCUGUCUCUAAAAGAAAAUGUUGAUGAUGACGAGUUACCAUUGGAAGAAGAAAUCAAAGGAACACUCAAACGACGACAUUGUACAACCGGUGUAUUAAAUCGACCACUUUUAUAAAAGCUUCCAAACUUCGCUCUAAUUCGAACAUCAAAAUCAACAGCCAAAUCAUUGUGAAUCCCGAGACUUCUCUCUUCAAAAUACUCGUCAAGUUGUUUACGUCCUAGAUUGAUCUUAGUAUUCCCUUUAAACUCUAUAGGUCCAAAAAAUGUUGUAUUCUUGUGUCCUUGAUCAAACGGUGUCAAACUCACAUAACCAAAAUAAUUAUCUUUGUACCAAGAAAUCGCGGUGAUUCUUCGGUAAUAGACUAUGAUGUUGUUGUUGGGGUUUCGUAUUGUGACAUUGACUUUGAAAUUAUAGUAUAAGGUAUUGUUGUUUGUGAGGUUGAACUCGGUGAGAGUAGCGUCUGUUAUGUGGAAUUUCACGCUUGAGGGAGAGAUUACUAUCCAGGCGAUGAUUGAGAAAGACAUGAAGAAGAAUAUAACGGCGUAGAUUGAGUAAUAGAUGCACCAGAACCAAUGAAAUCUGCAGCACAUGGUGGUGAUGAGGUUUUUGAAUUUUUCUUGUGAUGAUUAGGUUUUGUUGUUGAUGAAUUUUAUGGUACAAAGUUGUGUGCUUUUAUAGGGUGGAAAUAGAUGGAUUUUUGGGUAUAGUGUGGUUCUUGUGAUUUUCUAGGUGAUAUCGUUGCAAUAUGUAGUACAUUAGAGAGAAGCUAGUAGCAUUGACUUUUGAAGCCUAACUCUUUCAUUUAUAGUAAUGAAAUAUAAAAUAUCAAACUAAUUGCCUAGGUGAUUACAUUGACCAUCUAUGCAAAUUAAAUCCUUACUUAGUAAAUUUAAAGAACAUAAGAAAUAAAUUUUGUUAUCAUAAAUGACAUGACUGUAAUUUUGGUUAAAAAUUCCUCUUUGUUGUUGUUUGUUUUGCACUUUAUCUUGAAUUCAAGUUCUGGUGUUUUGGUGAUGGACCGUGUAACGGUGGUUUUUAUUGACUUUAGGGAAUCCGUUUUGUUGGAACACAAGUAUGUUUGUGAUUUGAAAAAUUCCUAGAAAUCUAACAUAGGAGAGACUUCACACAAUACAAAUAAUAUAGUGGAGGUAGACCUCUUGGUGUGUGCUCUAUUGGGUACCCUGUUUUGUAAGAGGACGAUUUUGAAAAUUUUAAAAAUGAAAAUUAAAUCCUUACUUGUGUAUUGUGGAUUUAGGACAAAUCACUCUAAGCACCUUACUUGCAUCUUAAACUAUUGGUGUUUGUGGAUUUGGGAAGAUUGCAGUAUAAAGACAUUCAACAAUGCUUACAUAUAUAUCAACAAUGAAAAUUGUUCCUCAGAAAAUAAAUGGACUAGACAAUUCUAAUCUAACAAUAAAGGCAAACUAGUGCCACAAGUACAAUUUUGGUGUCAAUAUUAAUUAGAAAAUUCUACUAAGUUAGAAAAUAACUACAGAUUACAGGCUGAACUUACAUGCCAACCUCUUAUCUUGUGAGUCUGUUUCCACGUUUAAGUUCUUCCAUUAGUUGAUGUGCUACUGAUUCAUAUCCCAUUUCCCGAGCUUCAUUUCAGUCAAUCAAAGAGAUCAAGUAAGAAAAAUGUACAAGACUCAAAAGAGAUUAAGUGUUUAUAGUCCAUAAGCGUUUAUUAUAUAAAUGCAUAACUUCUUUAAGUUAUCAUGAAGAGCUUAUGAUGUAUUAUAAUAAGUUUUUUUUUUUUUUUUUUUUGCGCAUAAACUCUCAAAUAGUUUCAAAAAAGUUUAUAGUCCACCACACCAAGCCUUGAAAUUUUUUGAGGGCCAAAAUUAUUGUACGUGUGACCGCGUAAAUAUUGUUGGAAAUAUGUUCACGCUAGUUUUCAAAUUCCAGAACUCAUGCUAGUUGUAUUAGCUUAUAUACCAUAUUCUAGAUUGAAAAAAUGUUUGAAGACAAAGCAUUAGAACCACUACUUUCAUGAGAAACACGACACAAAAACCUCAUAAUGCUCAAACAAUCUUACAACAAGAGUUGCCAUAUUGUUCUUCAUAACUUUUGACUUAUUUUCACCAUNACAAACUUGAGAGCCUAGCAACAACUCAAACAUAUUAAGCAGAGUUCACCAAUCCGGAUACUUCAUCCUCUUUUCAAUGUCCUUUUGCAUUUGCAUUUUGUUGGUGUGCUGCUACUAGAUUUGUUGCUACAUGCUGUACCUACUGCUUUUGUUGCUACUUAAGUCUUAAUUUGUAUUUUGAUGUUGUUGCUACUGUUUUUGCAUUCAAUUUACAAUUAAAUCAUGUAAAAUUUUGGAUUUGCAUUCUGUUUGUUCGAGAUUUGCAUUAUAUUUGCUGAUUGCUUGCUAUAUCAUUUACAACUUCUAGAUUUUUGUGGAAAUUAUGUGUUUUAUGAAGAUUGGUACUAUUAUUAAGUUGGCUGAGCCUUCAAACGAGAAUCGUGAACGAGAGCUUCUUCAUCUUCUUCUAGCAUCAUAGCAAUGGAAAUCGGAAUUGAUUAUUUGAUAACGGUGAAACGGUUUGAAGAACGGUUAUGGAAAAUUGAACGGUAAUAGAGUAAUAGAGAGAACAUGGUUAUGCAGCACUCAAGUGAGGGGGUCUCAAAGUUACCCAUGGUUAUGGAGAAUUGUACGGAUCGAACUUUUCCAUUUUUUUCUUUUCUUUUUCUUUUUCAUUUAUUUAAUCACUAUGAUGUAUAUGUGGCUUUUUCAUGGGGGCCUCAAAGUUGCAUAAGGG
RNAcentral lists this long non-coding RNA (18975 nucleotides) under Medicago truncatula (barrel medic). RNAcentral's name for it is "long non-coding RNA (MTRU_LNC004379)". Lineage: Eukaryota; Viridiplantae; Streptophyta; Magnoliopsida; Fabales; Fabaceae. The record is from RNAcentral.